Long non-coding RNA from Oncorhynchus tshawytscha (Chinook salmon), 504 nucleotides. Lineage: Eukaryota; Metazoa; Chordata; Actinopteri; Salmoniformes; Salmonidae. The record is from Ensembl.
GUGCAAAUUGGGACGCAUGCAGCCAGUCUUCUUUUUGAUAAGGAUGUGUGUAAAGGAAGGGAAGGCCAGUCUAUAGUGUAUGUGUCCCUUCCAGGUAGAAGUGAAGAAAUCCUCAAGGAGAAUUCCCUUCCAGGAAGACGUGAAGAAAUCCUCAAGGAGAAUUCCCUUCCAGGAAGACGUGAAGAAAUCCUCAAGGAGAAUUCCCUUCCAGGUAGACGUGAAGAAAUCCACAGAAGGGCAGGUGAUGGGCAGGUGAUGGGCAGGUGAUGGGCAGGUGAUGGGCAGGUGAUGGGCUUGUCAGAUGUACAAUGUACAUUGUAGAGAGAAAACUGUCACCGAUCAAAAGGGCAGGUUCUCCAGCACCCCUACAGCCCAAUCUGUGCACGUGCCUGGGUGAAGGACAGCUUUCCCUCCAUAUAGAGAGGCUCCUGAACCACCCCUCCCCCCAAAAAGAUGAGAUCAAAUCAAACAAUUUAAUCAAAUGUGUAUCUACAGUAUAAAUAA